GCCGAUAAGCUCCUAACCAUGCUGGCGAUGAUCUCGUCCCCACGGCGGCGCCCAUCAAGCGGAGGAUGCCGGCGGAGCGAUGGCGACGACAGGCUGCGGGCGGAGCAGAGGGGCGGGCGGAGCGGCGGCGGUGGAGGUGGCCAGAGGAGGAGGAGGUCGCCGGCGAGCACGGUAGCUGUGGCAGGUGCGACAGCGGUUGACGACGACGGUCUACUCCACUCCGUCGGCAUGCUCCGUCCACCGCCGCUUGGCCUGCCCCGCUCUUCCCUGCCGCGGUGGGGUUCCAGACUGUGGCGAGGAGCGCGGAAGCGUGGUCGGGGAGGCCCAUGGAGGAGAGGGAAAAGCUGCCGCCGCCCGCGGUUCCUCUCCUCCCACCAGCUGCCGGCGACCGCGCGCCGCUUCUGUCCCUUCUGAUGCUUCCCGCGGUUCCUGUUCCACCGGCCGCCGCUCGUGUCUCCUCUCCCACCCGUCUCCGCCGCUCCUCUCCCGUCCCGGUGAGGUCAACGGGUGCGGCGACAUCCUUCUUAUCUGCCCGCCCUGCUCUGCCCUUCUACUUCCUCUCUCGCCGCCGCCGAAGACGACGACGGCGACGGGUUCGACAACGACCGCCCGCUGCCCUCUCCCGGCGGCAACCCGCCACUGCCCAGCUCCGCCCCUCUGCUCUGGCCACCGUCGCUCCGCCCGCCCCGCUCAGCCCCUCUGCUCCGCUCCGCCCGUGGCCUGCUGCUCCGUCCCUCUGCUCUGCUCCGCGCUUACUCAGCACCGGUGAGUUCAUACUGCAUAGACACUUACAUGUGGGUCCCACCGUGCUGAGUCACGUCGCCAACCGAGUCAACGACGCCACGUCGGACGAAACCACCAGCCAAACCACCGAGGGGAUUUGCCAAACCACCGAGGGAGGGGAUUUGGUCUGGUUUUCAAAGCUGAAGGAGCCGAUAUACCAGGGACGUGAUUUAACUAGGGACGAGAGUUGAGGGAGGUAAAGUGGACUUAUCCCUUUCAGUCCAACGCAGAACAAACAUUUCGGCCCAACGACAAGAGCUCAAGAAGCAUUUCGGCGAACGGAAAAUCAUAUUCCAAAUUUAAUUGGCACAUCCGCACAUGAAAGCAUCUCACAACGAGGUGGUGCAUUUCCCUCGUCAGCCACAGCAUCUGACAGAUAAGCAGAUCACUUACCUGCAUCACUGCAUGUACAUUGACAAUCUGGGCAAACUGAAUAAAAUAUAAUUGACCAGGUACAAAACUAUGUGGUUAAAGGAGUGGACGUGAAGAACCAAAAUUCAGUAGUGAUGGCCAGUCAAGUAGAUGUAGCAGCCUUUUCUGGCCGGUGCCUGCAUGCAUAUGCAAUUGACAUUGCUGCCUGAGAUAGACUGAAGGUUUCAGAGGGCUAAUGGAUUUUGAGGCAUAACAAAUUGGACUCUGCUUUUUAUGGUAGCCUUCUUCUAGAUCAUGGAAGCUGGUUGCUUUGAAAAUUGUCGGAUGGCGGUGAUCCAACAGAGAUGCAGAGUAACAGAAAUCUACUCUGCCGUAGACUGUAUAAUCUCCCGUGUUUGUUGAACUAACUACCAUAUCUCAAAUCUGAAUGUAUAAUCUGCCAGUGUCAACUGCGUGCUUCCAUUUCAACCCGAGGUGUAACAUGUGCACACAAAAGCUCUUCUCUGAAUUCCGCAAAUAAACUCUGCUUAAUUUGCAGAUGA
Oryza sativa Japonica Group (Japanese rice) is the source of this 1697-nucleotide non-coding RNA. Lineage: Eukaryota; Viridiplantae; Streptophyta; Magnoliopsida; Poales; Poaceae. The record is from RefSeq and is a predicted model, not a curated record.